RNAcentral lists this ribosomal RNA (593 nucleotides) under uncultured marine eukaryote. RNAcentral's name for it is "SSU rRNA". It matches the Rfam family "Eukaryotic small subunit ribosomal RNA", at positions 1 to 598 of the family's 1831-position model. The record is from RNAcentral.
AACCUGGUUGAUCCUGCCAGUAGGUCAUAUGCUUGUCUCAAAGACUAAGCCAUGCAUGUCUAAGUAUAAGUAUUAUACAGCGAAACUGCGAAUGGCUCAUUAAAACAGUUAUAGUUUAUUUGAUAAUCGAAUUUACAUGGAUAACCGUGGUAACUCUAGAGCUAAUACAUGCUGGUGUGCCCGACUUUUGUGGAAGGGCGGUAUUUAUUAGAUAACAAGCCAAUAUUCCUCUGGUCUAUUGUGGUGACUCAUAAUAACUGAUCGAAUCGCAAGGCCUAUGGCCGCGGUAAGUCAUUCAAGUUUCUGCCCCAUCAGCUUUCGAUGGUAGUGUAUUGGACUACCAUGGCGUUUACGGGUAACGGAGGAUUAGGGUUCGAUUCCGGAGAGGGAGCCUGAGAAACGGCUACCACAUCUAAGGAAGGCAGCAGGCGCGUAAAUUACCCAAUCCUGACUCAGGGAGGUAGUGACAAGAAAUAACGGACCGGGGCCUUACGGCUUCGGGAUUGCAAUGAGCCGAAUUUACACCCCUUAGCGAAGAUCGAUUGGAGGGCAAGUCUGGUGCCAGCAGCCGCGGUAAUUCCAGCUCCAAUAGC